This 762-nucleotide ribosomal RNA is filed under the name Halomonas sp. RNAcentral's name for it is "bacterial SSU rRNA". It matches the Rfam family "Bacterial small subunit ribosomal RNA", at positions 31 to 795 of the family's 1533-position model. Lineage: Bacteria; Pseudomonadati; Pseudomonadota; Gammaproteobacteria; Oceanospirillales; Halomonadaceae. The record is from RNAcentral.
GCUUGCUGGCGGCAGCUACCAUGCAGUCGAGCGGUAACAGAUCCAGCUUGCUGGAUGCUGACGAGCGGCGGACGGGUGAGUAAUGCAUAGGAAUCUGCCCGAUAGUGGGGGAUAACCUGGGGAAACCCAGGCUAAUACCGCAUACGUCCUACGGGAGAAAGGGGGCUUCGGCUCCCGCUAUCGGAUGAGCCUAUGUCGGAUUAGCUAGUUGGUGAGGUAACGGCUCACCAAGGCGACGAUCCGUAGCUGGUCUGAGAGGAUGAUCAGCCACAUCGGGACUGAGACACGGCCCGAACUCCUACGGGAGGCAGCAGUGGGGAAUAUUGGACAAUGGGGGGAACCCUGAUCCAGCCAUGCCGCGUGUGUGAAGAAGGCCCUCGGGUUGUAAAGCACUUUCAGCGAGGAAGAACGCCUAGCGGUUAAUACCCGCUAGGAAAGACAUCACUCGCAGAAGAAGCACCGGCUAACUCCGUGCCAGCAGCCGCGGUAAUACGGAGGGUGCAAGCGUUAAUCGGAAUUACUGGGCGUAAAGCGCGCGUAGGUGGCUUGAUAAGCCGGUUGUGAAAGCCCCGGGCUCAACCUGGGAACGGCAUCCGGAACUGUCAAGCUAGAGUGCAGGAGAGGAAGGUAGAAUUCCCGGUGUAGCGGUGAAAUGCGUAGAGAUCGGGAGGAAUACCAGUGGCGAAGGCGGCCUUCUGGACUGACACUGACACUGAGGUGCGAAAGCGUGUGUAGCAAACAGGAUUAGAUACCUGGGUAGUC